CCUACGGGUGGCAGCAGUGAGGAAUCUUGGUCAAUGGACGAGAGUCUGAACCAGCCAAGUAGCGUGAAGGAUGACUGCCCUAUGGGUUGUAAACUUCUUUUAUAUGGGAAUAAAUUGAUCCACGUGUGGGAUUUUGUAUGUACCAUAUGAAUAAGGAUCGGCUAACUCCGUGCCAGCAGCCGCGGUAAUACGGAGGAUCCGAGCGUUAUCCGGAUUUAUUGGGUUUAAAGGGAGCGUAGGUGGAUUGUUAAGUCAGUUGUGAAAGUCUGCGGCUCAACCGUAAAAUUGCAGUUGAAACUGGCAGUCUUGAGUACAGUAGAGGUGGGCGGAAUUCGUGGUGUAGCGGUGAAAUGCUUAGAUAUCACGAAGAACUCCGAUUGCGAAGGCAGUUCACUGGACUGCAACUGACACUGAGGCUCGAAAGUGUGGGUAUCAAACAGGAUUAGAUACCCGGGUAGUC
This 460-nucleotide ribosomal RNA is filed under the name uncultured bacterium. RNAcentral describes it as "partial 16S ribosomal RNA". It matches the Rfam family "Bacterial small subunit ribosomal RNA", at positions 338 to 795 of the family's 1533-position model. The record is from RNAcentral.